Molecule: ribosomal RNA, 253 nt
Filed under: uncultured bacterium
Lineage: Bacteria
Description: partial 16S ribosomal RNA
Rfam family: Bacterial small subunit ribosomal RNA
Source: RNAcentral
UACGUAGGGACCGAGCGUUGUCCGGAAUCAUUGGGCGUAAAGAGCGUGUAGGCGGCUUGCUAAGUCUUGCGUGAAAUCUCGGGGCUCAACCCCGAGCGGUCGUGGGAAACUGGCAGGCUAGAGUGCGGGAGAGGAGAAUGGAAUUCCUGGUGUAGCGGUGAAAUGCGCAGAUAUCAAGUGGAACACCAGUGGCGAAGGCGAGUCUCUGGACAUUUCCUGACGCUGAGGCACGAAAGCCAGGGGAGCAAACGGG